Molecule: small RNA, 68 nt
Filed under: Sinorhizobium meliloti 2011
Lineage: Bacteria; Pseudomonadati; Pseudomonadota; Alphaproteobacteria; Hyphomicrobiales; Rhizobiaceae
Description: putative ncRNA
Source: RNAcentral
GUCGAUGAUACAACGGAACGCAUGUUCUUCGCGCCGACGAAACUCCGUCGGCGCGAACGGCGAUCUAA